UCUGUGUAUUCUUGCCACCUCUUCUUAAUCUCUUCUGCUUCUGUUAGUUCCCUGCCUUUUUUGUCCCUUAUCAUGCCCAUCUUUGCACAAAAUCUUCCCUUGAUAUCUCCAAUUUUCUUGAAGAGAUUUCUAGUCUUCCCCAUUCUAUUGUUUUCCUUGAUUUCUUUGCAUUGUUCAUCUAAGAAGGCCUUCUUAUUUCUCCUUGCUAUUCUCUGGAAAUCUGCAUUCAGUUGGUUAUAUCUUUCGCUUUCUCCCUUGCUUUUCGCUUUCCUUCUUUCCUCACCUAUUUGUAAAGACUCAUCAGACAGCCACUUUGCUUUCCUGCAUUUCUUUUUCUUUGGGGUGGUUUUAGUUGCUGCCUCCUGUACCAUGUUACAAACCUCUGUCCAUAGUUCUUCAGGCACUCUGUCUACCAGAUCUAAUCCCUUAAAUCUAUUCAUCACCUCCACUGUAUAUUCAUAAGGGAUAUGAUUUAGGUCAUGCCUGAAUGGUCUAGUGGUUUUCCCUACGUUCUUCAAUUUAAGCCUAAAUUUUGCAAUACGAAGCUCAUGAUCUGAGCCACAGUCAGCUCCAGGUCUUGUUUGUACUGACUGUAUAGAGCUUCUCCAUCUUUGGCUGCAAAGUACAUAAUCAAUCUGAUUUCGGUAUUGACUAUCUGGUGAUGUCCAUGUGUAGAGUCGUCUGUUGUGUUG
This is a long non-coding RNA of Candoia aspera, 692 nucleotides long. RefSeq lists it as uncharacterized. The record is from RefSeq and is a predicted model, not a curated record. Lineage: Eukaryota; Metazoa; Chordata; Lepidosauria; Squamata; Candoiidae. The transcript is spliced from 2 exons.